AGAGAGGGCAAACUUAAGAUUCUUACAAGAUGGCGAUAGCCAGCUUUGAGCGCCUCGAAAACACCAGCGCCGACUUCACCGGGACCGGCCUGCCAGGUUCCAUAGCCCAGCAGACUGCAAUUUUGGAGAGAGGGCAAAGAACAACCCAUUUAGUCUAAAAUGCCCCCCAUCCAGGUAUUUUAUCGAAUACUCACGGAAUCUGAUAGCAGGUGUUAAGGGUCGCUUUCCUGCCUAGAGACAUUGUGGCGAAUUGGGACCAGGUCGAUAGGGACUGAAUGACAGAAAAUCGAUGACCGAAGGACGAAGAAGCGAAAAUGAAACGUGAGGCGUGAGGCGUGAGACGUGUUAUUGAAAUCGAGUUUUAGCAAGGGAAUCAGGCGUUAACCUUUAGAUAUAUGAAAAUUCUCUGCUGGUCCAUCUCAAAUUCCCCUCUUGCCGGUUGAACUCAACGUCUGUCAUUACCAUUCCCCACGCAUCAGUGGAACGCCUCCUGAGAUGAUGUCAUGGCUCCGCCGUCGGUUCCAUUGAUCUUUAUUUAUUUCCCCCCCUCUCUCGGAUGAAUGAAUGUCUUACUGGCAAGAAGCAUUGUAGGUUUGUAUCUAGAAGCCAUUGUCAGUAGUGCAGAUGGCCUCAAAAGAACAGAAGUAGUAAACCCACUUACAUUCGAAUAUGA
Molecule: small RNA, 673 nt
Filed under: Histoplasma capsulatum
Lineage: Eukaryota; Fungi; Ascomycota; Eurotiomycetes; Onygenales; Ajellomycetaceae
Also listed under: 1 other name
Description: hypothetical RNA
Source: RNAcentral